Molecule: ribosomal RNA, 330 nt
Filed under: uncultured Pseudobutyrivibrio sp.
Lineage: Bacteria; Bacillati; Bacillota; Clostridia; Lachnospirales; Lachnospiraceae
Description: partial 16S ribosomal RNA
Source: RNAcentral
GGAGUCUGGGCCGUAUCUCAGUCCCAAUGUGGCCGUUCAACCUCUCAGUCCGGCUACUGAUCGUCGCCUUGGUGAGCCGUUACCUCACCAACUAGCUAAUCAGACGCGGGUCCAUCUUGUACCGAAAAUACUUUUCACACUGCAUCAUGCAAUGCUGUGCGCUUAUGCGGUAUUAGCAGUCGUUUCCAACUGUUGUCCCCCUGUACAAGGUAGGUUACCCACGCGUUACUCACCCGUCCGCCACUCAGUCAACAAAUCGUCACCCCGAAGGGAUCGUGAUAAGUUGCUUCGUUCGACUUGCAUGUGUUAAGCACGCCGCCAGCGUUCAUC